Galleria mellonella (greater wax moth) is the source of this 731-nucleotide long non-coding RNA. RefSeq lists it as uncharacterized. Lineage: Eukaryota; Metazoa; Arthropoda; Insecta; Lepidoptera; Pyralidae. The transcript is spliced from 3 exons. The record is from RefSeq and is a predicted model, not a curated record.
CGAGUAUACUCGCAUUAAACAUUCUGAAGGCUAUAUUUUAUUUACUGAGCAAUAAACUGCUUCAGACAGGCUUACGCUCGCAUUACAGCCGCUCAAGAAUAUGGGUCCUGAAUGGUCUUGAAACUAGUAGUAGUACGCUUUUUGUACCAAAUUACACUAACCACGUGCCACCAACCUACCAAUGUGAAUUGACCUUAACGUAAACGGAUUCCGGGAAUGAUAAUUAAUUUAGUUAGUCGCUUAUGGUGUACAGCCGCUGUGAUGCAGCGACUCGGAACAUUUCCUUAUAGGCAUGUGCAUAAAAAUAUGAAACAAACUACCUGCAGUGAAAUUUCCGAUCUUAAACAAUUUGGGAACCUUUUAGAAGAAAGUAUAUACCUUUUUAAAGACCAACAAUGGAAUGAAUAAUAAAGGAAUGGUGACCCCGUCUGCUGUGUGAUCCCGGCAUACAAUAAACAACUCCUUCUUUUCCAAUGGUCAUAAGAGGCAAAUAAAAGGACUUAGUGGUCGAGGGAUGAAUAGCAGCGUCUUAAAACAUCAUCAAAGCCUAACUGCAGUUGCCUACCCGCUUACGAAGCAUAGCAACUUCUGGCAAACCCCAUUAUGAGGGAGGUCUAUGCUGAGAAGUAUUAUUUCUUUUUCGCAUAGCCUCCCCAAUGCAAUGCAAUGACUUCGUGCCCAGAUAGAAAACAUCCAUAUUGCCUCGGGUAUUAAAAAUAAAUAGGUACUAU